GGGGAAUUUUCCGCAAUGGGCGAAAGCCUGACGGAGCAAUACCGCGUGAGGGAGGAAGGCUCUUGGGUUGUAAACCUCUUUUCUCAGGGAAGAAUAGAUGACGGUACCUGAGGAAUAAGCAUCGGCUAACUCCGUGCCAGCAGCCGCGGUAAUACGGAGGAUGCAAGCGUUAUCCGGAAUGAUUGGGCGUAAAGAGUCCGUAGGUGGCACUUCAAGUCUGCUGUUAAAGCACAGAGCUCAACUCUGAAAAGGCGGUGGAAACUGAAGAGCUAGAGGCUGGUAGGGGUAGAGGGAAUUCCCAGUGUAGCGGUGAAAUGCGUAGAGAUUGGGAAGAACACCGGUGGCGAAAGCGCUCUACUGGACCAGAACUGACACUGAGGGACGAAAGCUAGGGGAGCGAAUGGGAUUAGAUACCCCAGU
This 420-nucleotide ribosomal RNA is filed under the name uncultured cyanobacterium. RNAcentral's name for it is "bacterial SSU rRNA". It matches the Rfam family "Bacterial small subunit ribosomal RNA", at positions 356 to 791 of the family's 1533-position model. The record is from RNAcentral. Lineage: Bacteria; Bacillati; Cyanobacteriota.